GCUGGUUAAAGGAAGUAUCUGUGAUUUACAGAGAUGAUGGAAUUUGUAACACGUCCUCCUUAGGAAAACCUGAGAUGUUAUAGGAACAAACUCAGUAGUGAAUUUAGAAUUUUCUAUAUAACUGUAUUUUAAAGGGGGAACUGUAUUUUAAUCUGUACCCUGGGAAUGAUACCGAUGGGAAAAGACUAACUCAGUCUUUGCAGAUAUUUAUUCUUGAGGCCCACUGAGGUAAGAGAAGCAGUGUGCUGAGCCCUUCCCAGCC
RNAcentral lists this long non-coding RNA (262 nucleotides) under Pan troglodytes (chimpanzee). RNAcentral's name for it is "long non-coding RNA NONPTRT000522". The record is from RNAcentral. Lineage: Eukaryota; Metazoa; Chordata; Mammalia; Primates; Hominidae.